This 234-nucleotide long non-coding RNA is filed under the name Mytilus galloprovincialis (Mediterranean mussel). Lineage: Eukaryota; Metazoa; Mollusca; Bivalvia; Mytilida; Mytilidae. The record is from RNAcentral.
CCGGAAGGGUAAGCAGAUCCUGCUCCACAUGUGGCACCCAUCGUGUUGCUUAUGUGAUAACAAAUCCGGUAAAUAGUCUAAUUCGGUAGGUCACAUUCAUGAAAGGGAAGGGGGUUGUAGUUACGACGUAAGGAACAUAUCUGAUAUCAUUUGUGAAACGGUUAUUCCAUAACGGUCAACCAACUCGUGAUGGCGUCUGUAAAAUUUACGAAGGGAUGAUUUCAACUUCACCAU